Molecule: long non-coding RNA, 272 nt
Filed under: Malus domestica (apple)
Lineage: Eukaryota; Viridiplantae; Streptophyta; Magnoliopsida; Rosales; Rosaceae
Description: long non-coding RNA (MDOM_LNC019568)
Source: RNAcentral
CAUAGUUACUUCUCCCUUGGCCACAUCAAUCUUGGUUUGAGCCGUUUUCAUGAAAGGUCGUCCAAGUAAGAGUGGUGAUGGUGGAGAGUGGGUUGAAUCCUCCAUAUCAAGCACAUAGAAAUCUGCAGGAAAAAAAUCAAAUGGUCUACCUGCACCCAAAACAUCUUCCAAAACUCCCUUUGGGAUAUGCAUUAGAUCGAUCGGCUAAUUGAAUAAUAACACCAUCAUUUUUAAGCUUUCCUAGAUUCAUAGAUGCAUAAACAGAAUAUGGC